This 482-nucleotide ribosomal RNA is filed under the name uncultured bacterium. RNAcentral's name for it is "partial 16S ribosomal RNA". It matches the Rfam family "Bacterial small subunit ribosomal RNA", at positions 28 to 523 of the family's 1533-position model. The record is from RNAcentral.
AGUGAACGUUGGCGGCGUGGAUUAGGCAUGCAAGUCGAGCGAGAACCGUAGCAAUACGGGGACAGCGGCGAAAGGGACAGUAAUGUGUAGGUACCUACCUCCGGGUUCGGGAUAGCUGCGGGAAACUGCAGGUAAUACCGAAUAACGUCUCCGGACCAAAGGUGUGAUUCCACCUGGAGAGGGGCCUGCAUCCUAUUAGCUUGUUGGCGGGGUAACGGCCCACCAAGGCGACGAUGGGUAGCGGGUGUGAGAGCACGACCCGCGUCAUUGGGACUGAGACACUGCCCGGACACCUACGGGUGGCUGCAGUCGUGAAUCUUCGGCAAUGGGCGCAAGCCUGACCGAGCGUCGCCGCGUGCGGGAUGAAGGCCUUCGGGUUGUAAACCGCUGUCGUAGAGGAGGAAAUGCAGGGGGGUUCUCCCCUCUGUUUGACCUAUUCUAGGAGGAAGUACGGGCUAAGUUCGUGCCAGCCGCCGCAGUAA